CAAUCCCCACCACGUUUACUAGAGUUUGAUCCUGGCUCAGAUUGAACGCUGGCGGCAUGCCUUACACAUGCAAGUCGAACGGCAGCACGGGUGCUUGCACCUGGUGGCGAGUGGCGAACGGGUGAGUAAUAUAUCGGAACGUACCUUGUAGUGGGGGAUAGCUCGGCGAAAGCCGGAUUAAUACCGCAUACGCUCUGAGGAGGAAAGCGGGGGACCUUCGGGCCUCGCGCUACAAGAGCGGCCGAUAUCAGAUUAGCUAGUUGGUGGGGUAAAAGCUUACCAAGGCGACGAUCUGUAGCUGGUCUGAGAGGACGACCAGCCACACUGGGACUGAGACACGGCCCAGACUCCUACGGGAGGCAGCAGUGGGGAAUUUUGGACAAUGGGCGAAAGCCUGAUCCAGCAAUGCCGCGUGCGUGAAGAAGGCCUUCGGGUUGUAAAGCACUUUUGUCCGGAAAGAAAUCCUUUGGGUUAAUACCUCGGGGGGAUGACGGUACCGGAAGAAUAAGCACCGGCUAACUACGUGCCAGCAGCCGCGGUAAUACGUAGGGUGCAAGCGUUAAUCGGAAUUACUGGGCGUAAAGCGUGCGCAGGCGGUUUUGUAAGACGGAUGUGAAAUCCCCGGGCUCAACCUGGGAACUGCAUUCGUGACUGCAAGGCUAGAGUAUGGCAGAGGGGGGUAGAAUUCCACGUGUAGCAGUGAAAUGCGUAGAGAUGUGGAGGAAUACCGAUGGCGAAGGCAGCCCCCUGGGCCAAUACUGACGCUCAUGCACGAAAGCGUGGGGAGCAAACAGGAUUAGAUACCCUGGGUAAUCCACGCCCUAAACGAUGUCAACUAGUUUGUUGGGGAUUCAUUUCCUUAGUAACGUAGCUAACGCGUGAAGUUGACCGGCCUGGGGAGUACGGUCGCAAGAUUAAAACUCAAAGGGAUUUGACGGGGACCCGCACAAGCGGUGGGAUGAUGUGGAUUAAUUCGAUGCACCGCGAAAAACCUUACCUUACCCUUGACAUGGUACGGGAGUCUGCUGAGAGGCGGAUAUGUGCUCGGAAAGAAGAACCCGUAACACAGGUGGCCUGCAUGGCCUGUCGUCAAGCUUCGGUGUCGUGAGGAGUGUUGGGUUUAGUUCCCCGCACACCAGAGCCACACUUUG
This 1151-nucleotide ribosomal RNA is filed under the name uncultured Pandoraea sp. RNAcentral describes it as "bacterial SSU rRNA". It matches the Rfam family "Bacterial small subunit ribosomal RNA", at positions 1 to 1108 of the family's 1533-position model. Lineage: Bacteria; Pseudomonadati; Pseudomonadota; Betaproteobacteria; Burkholderiales; Burkholderiaceae. The record is from RNAcentral.